RNAcentral lists this ribosomal RNA (449 nucleotides) under uncultured prokaryote. RNAcentral describes it as "bacterial SSU rRNA". It matches the Rfam family "Bacterial small subunit ribosomal RNA", at positions 355 to 796 of the family's 1533-position model. The record is from RNAcentral.
UGGGGAAUAUUGGACAAUGGGCGCAAGCCUGAUCCAGCAAUGCCGCGUGUGUGAAGAAGGCCUUCGGGUUGUAAAGCACUUUCGUUGGGGAAGAAAUACUCAAGGUUAAUACCCUUGAGGGCUGACGUUACCCAAAUAAGAAGCACCGGCUAACUCUGUGCCAGCAGCCGCGGUAAUACAGAGGGUGCAAGCGUUAAUCGGAAUUACUGGGCGUAAAGCGUGCGUAGGCGGGUAUUUAAGUCGGAUGUGAAAGCCCCGGGCUCAACCUGGGAACUGCAUUCGAUACUGGAUACCUAGAGUAUGGUAGAGGAAAGUAGAAUUCCCGGUGUAGCGGUGAAAUGCGUAGAUAUCGGGAGGAAUACCAGUGGCGAAGGCGGCUUUCUGGACCAAUACUGACGCUGAGGCACGAAAGCGUGGGGAGCAAACAGGAUUAGAUACCCCCGUAGUCC